Molecule: ribosomal RNA, 900 nt
Filed under: Salinicola sp. CPA-63
Lineage: Bacteria; Pseudomonadati; Pseudomonadota; Gammaproteobacteria; Oceanospirillales; Halomonadaceae
Description: bacterial SSU rRNA
Rfam family: Bacterial small subunit ribosomal RNA
Source: RNAcentral
UGCAAGUCGAGCGGCAGCACGGGGAGCUUGCUCCCUGGUGGCGAGCGGCGGACGGGUGAGUAAUGCAUAGGAAUCUGCCCGGUAGUGGGGGAUAACCUGGGGAAACCCAGGCUAAUACCGCAUACGUCCUACGGGAGAAAGCAGGGGAUCUUCGGACCUUGCGCUAUCGGAUGAGCCUAUGUCGGAUUAGCUGGUUGGUGAGGUAAUGGCUCACCAAGGCGACGAUCCGUAGCUGGUCUGAGAGGAUGAUCAGCCACACUGGGACUGAGACACGGCCCAGACUCCUACGGGAGGCAGCAGUGGGGAAUAUUGGACAAUGGGCGCAAGCCUGAUCCAGCCAUGCCGCGUGUGUGAAGAAGGCCCUCGGGUUGUAAAGCACUUUCAGCGAGGAAGAAGGCUUGGCGGUCAAUACCCGUCAAGAAGGACAUCACUCGCAGAAGAAGCACCGGCUAACUCCGUGCCAGCAGCCGCGGUAAUACGGAGGGUGCGAGCGUUAAUCGGAAUUACUGGGCGUAAAGCGCGCGUAGGUGGUUUGGCACGCCGGUUGUGAAAGCCCCGGGCUCAACCUGGGAACGGCAUCCGGAACGGCCAGACUAGAGUGCAGGAGAGGAAGGUAGAAUUCCCGGUGUAGCGGUGAAAUGCGUAGAGAUCGGGAGGAAUACCAGUGGCGAAGGCGGCCUUCUGGCCUGACACUGACACUGAGGUGCGAAAGCGUGGGUAGCAAACAGGAUUAGAUACCCUGGUAGUCCACGCCGUAAACGAUGUCGACUAGCCGUUGGGACCUUUAAGGACUUAGUGGCGCAGUUAACGCGAUAAGUCGACCGCCUGGGGAGUACGGCCGCAAGGUUAAAACUCAAAUGAAUUGACGGGGGCCCGCACAAGCGGUGGAGCAUGUGGUUU